Molecule: ribosomal RNA, 391 nt
Filed under: Centropages sp.
Lineage: Eukaryota; Metazoa; Arthropoda; Copepoda; Calanoida; Centropagidae
Description: partial small subunit ribosomal RNA
Rfam family: Eukaryotic small subunit ribosomal RNA
Source: RNAcentral
AUUCCAGCUCCAAUAGCGUAUAUUAAAGUUGUUGUGGUUAAAAAGCUCGUAGUUGGAUUUCGGCGGGUAUUGGUUGGUUUGAAUUGCUUCAACACUGACUUUUUUACCCGUGUGUUUUGCCAGAAUUUAGCGGGUGAUCUUCGCCGAUUGUCCGUUGGAACUGGUAGGUUUACUUUGAAAAAAUUAGAGUGCUCAAAGCAAGCUUACUGCUUGAAUAGUUGCGCAUGGAAUAAUAGAAUAGGAAGUCGUUUCUAUUUUGUUGGUUUCGAACACCGGAGUAAUGAUUAACAGGGACAGUCAGGGGCACUCGUAUUCCGCCGAGAGAGGUGAAAUUCUCAGACCAGUGGAAGACGAACCACUGCGAAAGCAUUUGCCAGGGAUGUUUUCAUUA